GACUAACGCUGGCGGCAUGCCUUAUGCAUGCAAGUAAAACGGGUGAGUAGCAAUACUCACAAGUUGCGAACGGCUGAGUAUAUGGUAGGAAUCUCCCCAAUGGUGUGGAAUACCCCAUCGAAAGAUGGGCUAAUACCGCAUGACCUCGCAAGAGAAAAGCGCUUAACCGCGCGCCGAUGGAUGAGCCUAUCUCCCAUCAGGCUGUUGGUAGGGUAAUGGCCUACCAAACCUAUGACGGGUACCCGCCCUGAGAGGGGAAACGGGCAGAAUGGGACUGAGACACGGCCCAUACACCUACGGGUGGCAGCAACAGGGAAUCGUGCGCAAUGGACGAAAGUCUGACGCCGCAAUGCCGCGUGGAGGAUGAAGGCCUUCGGGUCGUAAACUCCUUUUAUAUGGAAUGAGAGUUCUAUAAGAAUAAGUAACUGCUAACUCUGUGCCAGCAGCCGCGGUAAUACAGAGGUUACAAGCGUUGUCCGGAUUUAUUGGGCGUAAAGCGUUUCGUAGGCCGCUUCGUAAGUUAUUUUUCAAAUACCACGGCUCAACCGGGGGAAGGGAGAUAAUACUGCGAGGCUUGAUUUUUGGUGGGGUUUCUAGAACUGAUGGUGUAGUAGUGAAAUACGUUGAUAUCAUCAGGAAUUCCAAGGGCGAAGGCAGGAAACUAACCAAUUAAUGACGCUGAGGAACGACAGCUAGGGGAGCGAAAGGGAUUAGAGACCCCUGUAGUCCUAGCCGUAAACUAUGCUCGCUAGGGGUUUGAAGUUUACUUCAUGUCCCGUAAGCUAACGCGUUAAGCGAGCCGCCUGGGGAGUACGGCCGCAAGGCUAAAACUCAAAGGAAUUGACGGGGACCCGCACAACCAGUGGAGCAUGUGGUUUAAUUCGAGACAAAACGAAGAACCUUACCAAGCCUUGACAUACUACCGUUUUAAGCACCCAGAAAUGGGAGCCUAUCUUUAGAAAUAUUGAUGGUAGAACAGGUGCUGCAUGGCCGUCGUCAGCUCGUGCCGUAGGGUGUUCCCUUCAGUGGGGUAACGAGCGCAACCCUUGCCAAAUAUUAAAUAUCUAUUUGGGACUACUUAAAUUUAUUUUAGGUGGAAGUGAGGACGAUGUCAGGUCAGCAUGGCCCUUAUAGCUUGGGCUACACACAUGCUACAAUGAAGCCGACAGAGGGUAGCCAAGUCGCAAGACGGAGCUAAUCCCAUCAAACGGCUUCUCAGUGGGGAUUGAAGGCUGCAACCUGCCUUCAUGAACGCGGAAUUGGUAGUAAUCGCGAAUCAGCUAUGUCGCGGUGAAUACGUUCUCGGGUCUUGUACACACCGCCCGUCAAGUGAGUAAAGUUGGAUAUACCUUAAAUCCCGUUGUACGGGAUCAAGGUAGAAUCAGCGAU
RNAcentral lists this ribosomal RNA (1389 nucleotides) under uncultured bacterium. RNAcentral's name for it is "16S ribosomal RNA". It matches the Rfam family "Bacterial small subunit ribosomal RNA". The record is from RNAcentral.